UCUGGAGAUCUGAAGAAGAAGAUUAAUCAGCCAUCAUGAGUGGAUCUCUGCAAGGGAGCUAGCACUCCGGAGAGAUCAAUGAACCUUCAAUUAGAUCGAGAGCUUCAUGUGGAUAUCUAUGGAGGUUGGACAUGUGUGCAGCUCUAAAAAUCUGUAAAUUCAUGACAUCAGCUGCGGUGUAUUGAUCCACGUAAAGAUAUUGAGAUCUGAUCUCACAUACAUGAUAGAUAUGAUCUAUGUGAUAGA
Molecule: long non-coding RNA, 246 nt
Filed under: Elaeis guineensis (African oil palm)
Lineage: Eukaryota; Viridiplantae; Streptophyta; Magnoliopsida; Arecales; Arecaceae
Description: long non-coding RNA (EGUI_LNC013228)
Source: RNAcentral